CUGAGUGGCUGUAUUCGUGAUUCUCUUCGGAGGGGCGAAGCUACCCGACCUGAUGUCAUUCUAUCCGAGGGCGCGUCCGCUUGAGACAGCGGUUCGACGUUGGAGUUACCCGGACGAGGCGCUUGUCUCGAAGGGGGAAGCUCCGGGUCGGGUCGUGGCGCGCCUCUCGGCACAACUUUCCGCGGAAGAGGUAGGCGUUGACCUGCCCGCCGCGGGCCGUAUUUUCUACAACUCUUGAAGAAAACCUGAAGUCUGAAUACAAAAUAAAACGAAAGCA
Molecule: unclassified non-coding RNA, 277 nt
Filed under: uncultured Ascomycota
Lineage: Eukaryota; Fungi; Ascomycota
Description: sequence contains ITS1
Source: RNAcentral